Molecule: long non-coding RNA, 859 nt
Filed under: Capra hircus (goat)
Lineage: Eukaryota; Metazoa; Chordata; Mammalia; Artiodactyla; Bovidae
Description: lncRNA (ENSCHIG00000004826.1)
Source: RNAcentral
CGCCAGGUUUCUCUGUCCAUGGGAUUUUCCCAGGCAAGAAUACUGAAGUGGGUUUUCAUUUCCUUUUCCAGGGAAUCUUCCCAACCCAGGGAUCAAACUCUUGUUUCCUGCCUCUCCUGCUUUGCAGCCGCUGGAGAAGCCCUUGGUGUUGAUUGUUGAGGGUGCCCCUUCUGCUGUCUUUCUGCACCUGCCUGCAGCCACACUCCACAGGAAGACUCUGUGCACAGCUGGAAAGAUCCCCCUGGAAACAGUGCCCGCUGAAGAUUAUAGCCCCACCCCACCUCACAUCAUCCAGCAGCCUGGACCCUGCCAAAUUCAAGAACAAGAGUGAACCCAAGCUGUAAGGACAGAUUAAUACAGAGAAUACUAUUACUGAAGGGCAUCUCUGGUCUAACCAAGUGGCACUAGUGAUAAAGAACCCCCCUGCCAAUGCAGGAGACGUAAGAGACAUGGGUUUGAUCCCUGGGUUAGGAAGAUCCCGUGGAGGAGCACAUGGCAACCCACUCCAGUAUUCUUCUCAGGAGAAUCCCACAAACCAAGGGAGGAGCCUGCUGGGCUACAGUGCAUGGGGUCACAUGGAACCAGACACAACUGUAGUGACUUAGCACAUAUGCAUCCCUGGUCUGAACUUCAAGAAGAUCAAGUUAGCAUCCAGGCAUCUGUCGAGAGUCAGGAAGGGAAUGAAUUCUCCUGGCCUCACUCCUGGAUCAGAAACUCGAGCACCACGUCUUUGACCUUCCUACUCCCUCUCCUUCGAACAGCAGCUCUUCUCUUGAUCUGACCCCAGAAAAAAAUCAUCUGGAUUUUGUCCCCUGGGUCCCAUCUCCCCACAGCUGUUCUUCAGAUUCUCAUCAUCUCC